UACGGAGGGUGCGAGCGUUAAUCGGAAUUACUGGGCGUAAAGCGCGCGUAGGUGGUUUGAUAAGCUAGCUGUGAAAGCCCUGGGCUCAACCUGGGAACUGCAGUUAGAACUGUCUGGCUAGAGUAUAGUAGAGGGUGGCGGAAUUUCCUGUGUAGCGGUGAAAUGCGUAGAUAUAGGAAGGAACAUCAGUGGCGAAGGCGGCCACCUGGACUAAUACUGACACUGAGGUGCGAAAGCGUGGGGAGCAAACAGG
RNAcentral lists this ribosomal RNA (253 nucleotides) under uncultured bacterium. RNAcentral describes it as "partial 16S ribosomal RNA". It matches the Rfam family "Bacterial small subunit ribosomal RNA", at positions 524 to 776 of the family's 1533-position model. The record is from RNAcentral.